GACGAACGCUGGCGGCGUGCCUAAUACAUGCAAGUAGAACGCUGAAGGAGGAGCUUGCUUCUCUGGAUGAGUUGCGAACGGGUGAGUAACGCGUAGGUAACCUGCCUGGUAGCGGGGGGUAACAAUUGGAAACGAUAGCUAAUACCGCAUAAGAGUAGAUGAUGCAUGACAUUUACUUAAAAGGUGCAAUUGCAUCACUACCAGAUGGACCUGCGUGGUCUUAGCUAGUUGGUGGGGUAACGGCUUAACAAGGCGACGAUAGAUAGCAGACCUGAGAGGGGGAUUGGCCACACUGGGACUGAGACACGGCCCAGGACCCUACGGGAGGGAGCAGUAGGGAAUCUUCGGCAAUGGACGGAAGGCUGACCGGGCAAAGCCGCGUGAGUGAAUAAGGUUCUCGGAUCGGAAAGCUUUGGUGUAAGAGAAGAACGAGUUGGGGAGUGGACAGUUCACACUGUGACGGUAUCUUACCAGAAAGGGACGGCUAACUACGUG
This 495-nucleotide ribosomal RNA is filed under the name uncultured bacterium. RNAcentral describes it as "partial 16S ribosomal RNA". It matches the Rfam family "Bacterial small subunit ribosomal RNA", at positions 28 to 507 of the family's 1533-position model. The record is from RNAcentral.